UACGUAGGGGGCGAGCGUUGUCCGGAAUGAUUGGGCGUAAAGGGUACGUAGGUGGCCAUUCAAGUUAGUAGUGAAAUCCCAGGGCUCAACUCUGGUGCUACUACUAAGACUGUGUGGCUUGAGUGCAGGAGGGGUAAGUGGAAUUCCUAGUGUAGCGGUGGAAUGCGUAGAUAUUAGGAAGAACACCAGUGGCGAAGGCGACUUACUGGACUGUAACUGACACUGAAGUACGAAAGCGUGGGGAGCAAAC
RNAcentral lists this ribosomal RNA (250 nucleotides) under uncultured prokaryote. Its description in RNAcentral is "partial 16S ribosomal RNA". It matches the Rfam family "Bacterial small subunit ribosomal RNA", at positions 524 to 773 of the family's 1533-position model. The record is from RNAcentral.